Molecule: non-coding RNA, 121 nt
Organism: Triticum aestivum (bread wheat)
Lineage: Eukaryota; Viridiplantae; Streptophyta; Magnoliopsida; Poales; Poaceae
Source: Rfam
AUCAUACUCCCUCCAUCCGAAAAUACUUGUCGGAGAAAUGGAUAAAAAUGAAUGUAUCUAGAACUAAAAUACGUCUAGAUACAUCCAUUUCUCCGACAAGUAUUUCCGGACAGAGUACAAU